RNAcentral lists this long non-coding RNA (458 nucleotides) under Populus trichocarpa (black cottonwood). RNAcentral describes it as "long non-coding RNA (PTRI_LNC003525)". The record is from RNAcentral. Lineage: Eukaryota; Viridiplantae; Streptophyta; Magnoliopsida; Malpighiales; Salicaceae.
AUAUGCAUCAUUGCCUUCUCUUUCUCUUUUGAAAAAGAGAACUCAAUAUGUUCUAUUUCUCUUCUCUCUCUCUCUGGUUCUACUAGCGGUCGCUCACGGUGCUGCUAAUGGUGACUGGGAGGAAGCCGACGAUGGUUCACGAUGGUUAUUGUAGUGGCGGGCAAUGUUUGCUGCAUUUUUUUUCGUCUUCUUCCCCGUGCAAGGGCACCAGCCUCUGUUUUGUUUUUCUUCCUCGUCUGCUUCUGUUUGUUCUUCUCUCUGCCAAAUAUUUCCCUUCUUUUUGGCCGUAUAACAACCAGCCUCCUCCUCCUCCUCCAGCUCCGCCAUUGUGCUAAUUUAAUAGUUUUUUUGAAACACAUUCAAUUUGUAAUGAAUUUUAUUUAAGUUUAUUUUUUUGUUCUUAAUGUUUAAUAAAAUUUUAUUUGCAUAAUUUUUUGUUCUUAAUGUUUAAUAAAAUU